UAAAGUGUAAUCUGCCCACUGAUAUAAUAUUAAAGGGGUGCAGUAUUUUGAGUGUACAAAGGUAGCAUAAUCAUUAGUCUUUUAAUUGAAGACUUGUAUGAAUGAUUGGAUGAAAUAUAAACUGUCUCUAAUAUUAUUAGUUAGAAUUUAAUUUUUUUAUUAAAAAGUAAAAAUAAAUUUAAAAGACGAGAAGACCCUAUAGAGUUUUAUAAUUAAUUUAAUUGAAAUUAUUUAUAAAGAUAAUUUUAAAUUAAUAAAUUAAAAUUAAGUUAAUUAUUUUGUUGGGGUGAUAAAAAAAUAAAAAUAACUUUUUUUAAUAAAUAUAUAUAUAUAUAUAUAUAUAUAUAUAUUGUAAACAAAAAUAAAUGAUUUUUUGAUCCAGAAUUUUUGAUUAUAAGAAAAAAUUACCUUAGGGAUAACAGCGUAAUUUUUUUUUUUAGUUCAAAUAAGAAAAAGAGUUUGCGACCUCGAUGUUGGAUUAAGGAAAAAUUUAAAUGCAAAAGUUUAAAAUUUUG
Molecule: ribosomal RNA, 515 nt
Filed under: Cryptoses choloepi
Lineage: Eukaryota; Metazoa; Arthropoda; Insecta; Lepidoptera; Pyralidae
Description: partial 16S ribosomal RNA
Source: RNAcentral